RNAcentral lists this ribosomal RNA (424 nucleotides) under Verrucomicrobiota bacterium. Its description in RNAcentral is "Verrucomicrobia bacterium partial 16S ribosomal RNA". It matches the Rfam family "Bacterial small subunit ribosomal RNA", at positions 355 to 776 of the family's 1533-position model. Lineage: Bacteria; Pseudomonadati; Verrucomicrobiota. The record is from RNAcentral.
UGAGGAAUAUUGGUCAAUGGACGCAAGUCUGAACCAGCCAAGUAGCGUGCAGGAUGACGGCCCUAUGGGUUGUAAACUGCUUUUAUAUGGGGAUAAAGUGGGGAACGUGUUCCCUUUUGCAGGUACCAUAUGAAUAAGGACCGGCUAAUUCCGUGCCAGCAGCCGCGGUAAUACGGAAGGUUCGGGCGUUAUCCGGAUUUAUUGGGUUUAAAGGGAGCGUAGGCCGUUUGGUAAGCGUGUUGUGAAAUGUAGGAGCUCAACUUCUAGAUUGCAGCGCGAACUGUCAGACUAGAGUGCGCACAACGUAGGCGGAAUUCAUGGUGUAGCGAUAACAUGCUUUGAUAUCAUGAAGAUCUCCGAUUGCAAAGGCAGCUUACGGGAGCGCAACUGACGCUGAAGCUCGAAGGUGCGGGUAUCGAACCGG